This 581-nucleotide ribosomal RNA is filed under the name Desulfovibrio sp. STP7. RNAcentral's name for it is "bacterial SSU rRNA". It matches the Rfam family "Bacterial small subunit ribosomal RNA", at positions 297 to 874 of the family's 1533-position model. Lineage: Bacteria; Pseudomonadati; Thermodesulfobacteriota; Desulfovibrionia; Desulfovibrionales; Desulfovibrionaceae. The record is from RNAcentral.
AGUAUGAUCGCCACACUGGGACUGGAACACGGCCCAGACUCUACGGGAGGCAGCAGUGGGGAAUAUUGCGCAAUGGCGAAAGCCUGACGCAGCGACGCCGCGUGAGGGAUGAAGGUUCUCGGAUCGUAAACCUCUGUCAGAAGGGAAGAAAAACCAGAGGAGUAACUGCCUUUGGCCUGACGGUACCUUCAAAGGAAGCACCGGCUAACUCCGUGCCAGCAGCCGCGGUAAUACGGAGGGUGCAAGCGUUAAUCGGAAUCACUGGGCGUAAAGCGCACGUAGGCGGCUUUGUAAAGUCAGCGGUGCAAGCCCUUCGCUCAACGAAGGAAUUGCCGUUGAUACUGCUUAGCUUGAGUUUGUGAGAGGAUAGUGGAAUUCCAGGUGUAGGAGUGAAAUCCGUAGAGAUCUGGAGGAACAUCAGUGGCGAAGGCGACUAUCUGGCACAAUACUGACGCUGAGGUGCGAAAGCGUGGGGAUCAAACAGGAUUAGAUACCCUGGUAGUCCACGCUGUAAACGAUGGAUACUAGGUGCUGGAGGCUUGACUUUCAGUGCCGUAGCUAACGCGUUAAGUAUCCCGCCU